This 253-nucleotide ribosomal RNA is filed under the name uncultured bacterium. RNAcentral's name for it is "partial 16S ribosomal RNA". It matches the Rfam family "Bacterial small subunit ribosomal RNA", at positions 524 to 776 of the family's 1533-position model. The record is from RNAcentral.
UACAGAGGUGGCAAGCGUUGUUCGGAAUUACUGGGCGUAAAGGGCGCGUAGGCGGCUUGGUCAGUCCCGUGUGAAAUCCCUCGGCUCAACUGAGGAACUGCACGGGAAACUGCCUGGCUUGAGUUCGGGAGAGGGAAGCGGAAUUCCGGGUGUAGCGGUGAAAUGCGUAGAUAUCCGGAGGAACACCGGUGGCGAAGGCAGCUUGCUGGGACGGUACUGACGCUGAGACGCGAAAGCGUGGGGAGCAAACAGG